AUUGAACGCUGGCGGCAUGCCUUACACAUGCAAGUCGAACGGCAGCAUGGAGAGCUUGCUCUCUGAUGGCGAGUGGCGAACGGGUGAGUAAUGCAUCGGAACGUACCGUGUAAUGGGGGAUAACGUAGCGAAAGUUACGCUAAUACCGCAUACGACCUGAGGGUGAAAGCAGGGGAUCGCAAGACCUUGCGUUAUACGAGCGGCCGAUGUCAGAUUAGCUAGUUGGUGAGGUAAAGGCUCACCAAGGCGACGAUCUGUAGCGGGUCCGAGAGGAGGGGCCGCCACAAUGGGACUGAGACACGGCCCAGACUCCUACGGGAGGCAGCAGUGGGGAAUUUUGGACAAUGGGGGCAACCCUGAUCCAGCCAUGCCGCGUGAGUGAAGAAGGCCUUCAGGUUGUAAAGCUCUUUCGGCCGGGAAGAAAUCGCACAGGCUAAUACUCUGUGUGGAUGACGGUACCGGCAUAAGAAGCACCGGCUAACUACGUGCCAGCCGCCGCCGUAA
This 504-nucleotide ribosomal RNA is filed under the name uncultured bacterium. Its description in RNAcentral is "partial 16S ribosomal RNA". It matches the Rfam family "Bacterial small subunit ribosomal RNA", at positions 30 to 523 of the family's 1533-position model. The record is from RNAcentral.